This 639-nucleotide long non-coding RNA is filed under the name Brassica napus (rape). Its description in RNAcentral is "long non-coding RNA (BNAP_LNC015833)". The record is from RNAcentral. Lineage: Eukaryota; Viridiplantae; Streptophyta; Magnoliopsida; Brassicales; Brassicaceae.
AUUUGGUUGGGUAAGGGAAGGUUUUUAUUCAAGUGAUUCAAGAGGUUCAAAACAUAUGAUCUUUAAGGUGGUUUAUUCUCAAAACAAGUAGACUUGACAUUGCACAUAAUAUAUCUAAGAAAUGGAUCAACUCAUGCAUACAAUGCUCAAUCUCCAUUGUUCUACCCUUUUCCCAAACUUACAAUUACACAAUCAUUCCCAAAUGUCAAACCCAACUCACAUCUCUCACCAAAAGAUCCUAAGAACAUUAACUCUUUCUCUUUGAAAUCUACAAGGGAUUUUUCACAACCUCAAAACAUUACUUAGCUCCUAACAACUUUGCUAGCCCCCUUUUUCUUUCUUUUUCUUUUCUUUUCAUAUUUUUUUUAUUUUUUUUUUCUUCAUUUUUUUUUUAUUUUUUUUUUUUUAGGUGGGGGCCAAAACUUUCAUAACUUGAGCUAGAGGUUUAUCUACUUAUCCCAAUAAAACAAUUCACUUAAACACAAAGAGUCAUUUGUUUUCCUUUUUCAUUGCUCCCAAAUCAUAAUCACAACACUCAUCCCCCACCUAUAGCUAGACAAUAGAGUGUCCAAUCUAGCAAGAAUGAAGAUCAAACAUUGUCGUUCCCGAUACUCUCAACAUUAUGCACAUGUAAGACUU